This is a long non-coding RNA of Phyllostomus hastatus (greater spear-nosed bat), 389 nucleotides long. RefSeq lists it as uncharacterized. Lineage: Eukaryota; Metazoa; Chordata; Mammalia; Chiroptera; Phyllostomidae. The transcript is spliced from 3 exons. The record is from RefSeq and is a predicted model, not a curated record.
GAAUUUCUUUGGCCUCUUCCCGGGAACAGAUGCAGGCAGAGAGAGCAUCCAUUCAGUUUGCAGAGGCUGCAGGGUCAGCAAGACCGAGGCUCCAGUCACCAGGAAGACACAGGUGGAGCCUGGAGCCGGGAGACGGUUUGCCUGACGUCACACAGGCGGUUGGUUAUAAGCUACAGGCCAGAACAGCCUGGCGUUCACCGCGAGGACCUAGGUGGGUGACCUGCUGAGUGUGUGCUCAUCCCGAAGGUGGAAGAUCCAGCCACUCCGCACGCCUCAGUCAUCUGUCCAGUCUCCAUGGCCUUGCGCUCACUGAACCUCCUGCUGGAACACUCUCGCCUCCCUCUCUGGAGGGGCACUGCCUCGGCCUCUGAUGCCUUCUCAGCCCCGGC